GUGUCAGCAGCCGCGGUAAUACGUGGGGGCCGAGCGUUGUCCGGAGUUACUGGGCGUAAAGGGCGCGCAGGCGGCGGCGUGGGUCCGGCGUGAAAGCCCCCGGCUCAACCGGGGAAGGUCGUCGGGGACCGCGCCGCUUGAGGGCGGCAGGGGCCGGUGGAAUGCCUGGUGUAGUGGUGAAAUGCGUAGGGAUCAGGCGGAACACCCGUGGCGAAGGCGGCCGGCUGGCCCGACCCUGACGCUGAGGCGCGAAGGCGUGGGGAGCGAACGGGAUUAGAAACCCCUGUAGUCC
Molecule: ribosomal RNA, 292 nt
Filed under: uncultured prokaryote
Description: partial 16S ribosomal RNA
Rfam family: Bacterial small subunit ribosomal RNA
Source: RNAcentral